AUGCUUCCAGGUGCAGUGGUGGAGUCCAUCUCAGCUGCUGUAGCCGAUGGGCUGAAUGGGAACGUGGUGCCCCCAUCAUCCCCUCCUAAGGCCCAAGGGUUUGGAAUACUCAAGAAACUAACCUUUUCUGUAGAGUUAGUGGUGACUAUUAGCCUCCUUCUCUCCUGGAUUACUGCAGGCUUCAUGAUGUUUGAUGUUGUAGAAUAUAAAGGGGUCACUGACAUUCAAGACGUAGUUUUGGAUCCCAUGAAAGCUGUUAAUGAUGCUGUAGAGGGAAUGUCCAACAUGUUCUAUGAGGCUCAAGAAUGUGCAUUUGCUCCUCAUUUGAGUCUGGACCACAUGAAUGCUGUCAAAGAUGUAAAAGACUUAUUUAUGGACUUCCUCUCUGAUGAUGACGGAAACUUUUACCUGAGCUACGUUGACCCGGUGAUUAUUGGCAGGGGUGUGUUCAAUGUCACCAAUAACUCUAUAUGUGGAGUCGUGGGUUACAUACAAGGCACACUCUGUGUUCUAUUGGAUGCCAUAUUGGAUAUCUUACAGGCCCUUAUCCAUGCACUGAACAUCAAUGCAGAAGACAUAGUGCAUGUUAUCAAGGACUGUACAAGUUCUACUGGAACCUACAUUUGGGACCUGCUGCCAGGUAUCCCUCAAGAAGUGAACAUCGAUCCCAUACUGGUUCUCAGAAGAAUGUUUGGGAUUGUCAUUGAGCAGAAGAACAUGCUUGUGGACUAUGUCUCCAACUUGCUAAUAGGCGAUCAAGGGGUCAUUCCUGAGAUGAACUUUGACCCUAUGAAAGUGGUCACAGAUGCAGUGCUUGAGAUUGCAGAUGGGAAAAACAUGUUCAUGGAUUAUCUGUCCAACAUGCUUAUGGAUGAUAAAGAUGAACCUAGUACUAUACCAGCAUCUGUGAUGCAUGUGAUAAGGAAGAAAGGACAGUUUUUGCCACCCCUGGAAAAAGUUCUCAGACAAUCCAAGGAGAGGCAAGCAAGAGAAGAAGUAGUAGAAGAGGUAGAAGUGGUCCUUAAAGCGAUGAGGGAUGCACAAUCCAUGAAAGAGGUAGAAAAUAAGAAAUUGGAGGUCAAGACGGAAAAGAAAGAGGAGCAGGCCGAGGAGAAAGCAAAGCCUGAGGCAAUGCCCAGUGUGAAGAAAGCAGAGAAGACAGGACCCAAAGGUAAGCUAGGCUUGCAGUACUGUUUGUCUCUAUGGCUUCUACCAAAUUAUAAUGGAAUUUACAUAUCUAUAGAAAAUCAAGCCUUCUUUACAUUAUUCUUAACCACAAUAAACAUACUGUAA
RNAcentral lists this long non-coding RNA (1293 nucleotides) under Oncorhynchus mykiss (rainbow trout). RNAcentral describes it as "lncRNA (ENSOMYG00000072621.1)". Lineage: Eukaryota; Metazoa; Chordata; Actinopteri; Salmoniformes; Salmonidae. The record is from RNAcentral.